RNAcentral lists this ribosomal RNA (497 nucleotides) under uncultured bacterium. RNAcentral describes it as "partial 16S ribosomal RNA". It matches the Rfam family "Bacterial small subunit ribosomal RNA", at positions 28 to 507 of the family's 1533-position model. The record is from RNAcentral.
GAUGAACGCUGGCGGCGUGCCUAAUACAUGCAAGUCGAGCGAACGGACGAGAAGCUUGCUUUUCUGAUGUUAGCGGCGGACGGGUGAGUAACACGUGGAUAACCUACCUAUAAGACUGGGAUAACUUCGGGAAACCGGAGCUAAUACCGGAUAAUAUUUUGAACCGCAUGGUUCAAAAGUGAAAGACGGUCUUGCUGUCACUUAUAGAUGGAUCCGCGCUGCAUUAGCUAGUUGGUAAGGUAACGGCUUACCAAGGCAACGAUGCAUAGCCGACCUGAGAGGGUGAUCGGCCACACUGGAACGGAGACGGGGUCCAGACGCCUACGGGAGGCAGCAGUAGGGAAUCUGCCGCAAUGGGCGAAAGCCUGACGGAGCAACGCCGCGUGAGAGAUGAAGGUCUUCGGAUCGUAAAGCUCUGUUAUUAGGGAAGAACAUAUGUGUAAGUAACUGUGCACAUCUUGACGGUACCUAAUCAGAAAGCCACGGCUAACUACGUG